AAUAUGUGUAGUUUUGCACUAUUCACAUUCUAUUUGAAAAUAUUUUAUGAUUAGUACUUUUAUUGCUAUUAGAUAAUAAAACAUGAAUAGUACUUUAUGUGUGACUAAAUAUUUUCAAAUUUUUCACAAAUUUUUUAAAUAAGUCAGACGGUCAAAUAUUAGGCAUGGAUAUCCACGGCUACACUUAUU
Molecule: microRNA precursor, 189 nt
Filed under: Oryza glumipatula
Lineage: Eukaryota; Viridiplantae; Streptophyta; Magnoliopsida; Poales; Poaceae
Description: MIR812 microRNA precursor family
Rfam family: MIR812 microRNA precursor family
Source: Rfam by way of RNAcentral